CUGCGUAGGCUAAAGGGUAAAGGUCAGGACAGGCAUCGAGAUGGUGGCGCUACCGAAAGUUGCUGGGCAGAUAAAACCGUGUCCGUGAGAGAAAGAGAGGCGAGAUGGUGCUUUCCUCGCGCUGCGGCUGAUCCGCCCUCAACCGCCGAUCCUCGCUCUGCUCUUGUCGCGUCUCCCUCCGUCCAGUCCAAUGAGCGUCGCGUACGAGCUGCUGUGGCGUUUGCUGCACGUCUUCCUCAGCGCCCAGCGCGCGCUGGUCGCCUGGGCCCGCGGCUGGUUCGGAGGUCGCGGCUCGUGGCUCAGCGGUUGGAGGCGGCGCGCGGCUUCGGCUGCCACCGCCGCCUCGCGGGCCCUUUUAGCUCCGGCGGCCGCCGCGAGCCCUUUCGCCUUUCACAAGCCGGCGGCGGCGGGGCGGAAGGUGGUGGGCAGCGGGGGUCGGUGGCGGAGGGAUGUAAAAUCUUUGCAGAAGAUGCCGGGCCACGUGGGACUGGUCGUGACCGAGGAGGAGCAGAGCUACGCCGACGUGGCCAGCCUAGUUGUGUGGUGCAUGGCGGUGGGCAUCUCCUAUGUCAGCGUCUACGACCACGAAGGUAUUUUCAAAAGAAAUAAUUCAAGGCUGAUGGAUGAAAUUUUAAAACAGCAGCAGGAAUUGUUGAAUCUUGACUGUUCCAAAUAUACUGUGAAGUUUGCAAAUCAGGAGAAAACAGAUCAAGCUGCAGUUUUAAAUUGCCAGUCUGCACUGAAUGUGCUGUCCUCAGAGGAUGGAAAAACAGAUAUAGUAAGAGCAGCUCAGAAAUUUUGCCACUUAGUAGCACAAAAGCAAAAGAAAUGUACAGAUCUGGAUAUGGAUGUCUUGGAGAAUUUAUUAAGUAGUACUAAUGGCUUUCCGGAUCCUGACCUAAUAUUAAAGUUUGGUCCUGUGGACAGUGUCUUGGGAUUUCUUCCCUGGCAAAUCAGAUUGACAGAGAUUGUUUCUUUGCCUUCACAUGUGAAUAUCAGCUAUGAUGAAUUCUUCUCUGCCCUUUGUCACUAUGCAUCCUGUGAUCAGCGUGUUGGAAAAUGACCUAUUGCAGAAUUCUAUCGGGAUUUCUUUGGAAAGGACCCAAGGUCUCUGUUUACAAAUACCUGUGAUGCAUACAAAUCCAGUACAUAGUCUUUUAAUUUAUCAAAUUCAAUAAAGUGUCUUAUCCUUUUUAGAAUUUGUAUGUGUGUAUACUCAUAAUCUAUGGAAGUAUGGGAAAGCAAUGGUUUACUGCUCUCUAAUGUAUAUCAUAAAAGUUGUUUAAAAAAAAGUUGUUUGAAGGCUUCAGGCUUAUUUUUUUCCAGUGAUCAAAUUCUUAUUACUAGAAAUAUUUACAUGUAAUUAUGAAGAAGAAAACAAAGUAGUAGCACUACAGUCAUUAGAGGUAGCACAUUCUCAGUUGAAGUCUCCUCAUAAAAACUUCUGAAAUCAUACCUUAUGUCUUCUUCUUUGUCAGACAGAAGUCUGCAUCUGACCUUCUAAGCCCUAGAAUCUAGGAACACACUGUGAACUGAUUAUCUGCAAACACUUAUAAAAAUGUGUGAUAGAGUGAGGUCGGACAGAAGGAAUAACUGGUAUCUAAGCUGAAGAUUAAAUAGAACAGGACCAAAAACAGAAUAGUUAUAUGGUUUUUGGAAGGUGGGAAUGUUUUUAAAUCAUAGGUCAAAACACAUUACAAAUGAGCAAUUGAACCAUGGGUCUUAUAACUAUGGACCAUUCUUUCUGUCUUGGGGAACAGGGGUUUAAUUAGCAUGGUGGAUUGUGUGGAAGAAUGGAUGUGGGAAUGGAGCAUCCUCAUGUAAUGGAGUUCCAUAAACUGAACUUUUUCAAAUAUACCAUGAACAAUUGGACCUCUCUGUACUGUGGUAUUUUAGAAUAGCGUAUUAACUUCUCAGAGUGGAGGUAAGUUUUUAAAAAGGCUUGUACUUUCCUUUAAAAAAAGUAUUGAUUCCAUUUUCAACACGAGUAUCUACCUUGUUAUCUUAAUUUCAAAAAUGAGUUAACUAAUCUGGGUGAGGAUGCGUGUGGUAGGAAUACACUCAGUUUAUGUUUGGCUACAUGAACAGUAGCAACAAAAAAUGAAAGUGUUAAUUCACUAUGUACUGGUAACUUCCAAUUUUAAAAUCAUCAAUACACUAUAACAUGAUUAUCUGCAUAAAUUAUUGUGGCAGUUAUUAUGUGACAGCGUUUUAAUACAACAAUUCAACAAAUAUAUGAAACUAAAAUUCAUUGAUUGAUUUGUCGGCUAACUUCCUGCAGCAACUUUGUAGUGCCGCUUGAGAUAUGUGGUGUGAUAUUUUUCUCCAAACCUCUAACUUAAUCUUAUAUCCCUAAGUCGUCAUUGCAAAUUUUUAAAUAGACUGUCCAGUAAAUACUGAACAGUUACUUGUUUUCAACUGCAUAUUUUUAAGAGUAGCAAAACCAUUUUUAUUAUAAUGUUUUGGUUUAAAAGGGAUCAGAAACUUAAAUCUAUUUUGUGAAUGGCUCUUUUUGUAAAUGUCUCAAACUAGUGGAGUAAAAUAUUCCAGAUGAUAAUAGUAUUUUUCUCCUUUUUAAAUAUCAAAGUGUACUUGAUACAUCUGUAACAAAACUAUGGAUUAACUGACUUAAUGGUUUUUUUGAGAAAGAAGAAUGCUUACUAUUGUGAGCUUAUGAUGUAAAAGGGCAUCAAGAUAAUAUACGUAUUGACUGGAAUGUUAGAAUCUAUCUUCUACUUGAGUUGUAGGUCUCCAGUAUCUACUAUGGUGAUCAUAAACAUGUGCAAUAUGUUUCAGGAAUGCUCAUGCAUUCAUUUCCAUGAAGUCUUUCAGGAAAUUGCAUCUUAGUGAAGACAGGUUUUGGAAUAUAUUCUACAGGAAAUAUGAGAAGUAUGACAUUGUAUAUGUAAAUUAAUUGAAGGACCUAGAGAGAACUGACAUCUAAACUUCAGAGCUAUGAGCUUAACAAAAUAAUUCUAGUACAAGUUACAAGAAGUAUAGUAGCAAAGUUAUGAUUCCACUUUUUUACUUGCUAGAUCUUUUCCAUGCUUAUCAAUCUUCAGAUUGCCAAAGAAUAGUUUGAACAGCCACCUGCAUUUUGUCCACCCUUGUGACAUUCCUUGACAACAGAUUACUUAUAUGUACCAGACUCAAUACAAAAUAUGAAGUUAGAUGUGCCAAAAACACUGUGCAUAUCCACAAUUUAUUAUUUGAAUGUGUGUCAUUGCAGCAAACUCCAAUCUCAAGUUAUGUGAGAAGGUAUAGUCAACGGCAGUGACAUUCUGUAUACGUUUGGAUACUUGUAAAUAAUAUGUAAAGCAACUUUUUAUUAUGAACAAAUUGACUUACUGGAUUUCAUUACUGAGGGUAAAAUAAGAACCUGUAAAGCAAAUAAAUUAUCUUUCUACAGGCAA
Non-coding RNA from Python bivittatus (Burmese python), 3413 nucleotides. Lineage: Eukaryota; Metazoa; Chordata; Lepidosauria; Squamata; Pythonidae. The record is from RefSeq and is a predicted model, not a curated record.